GGAUGCGAUCAUACCAGCACUAAAGGACCAGAUCUCAUCAGAACUCCAAAGUUAAGCGUGCUUGGGUGAGAGUAGUAUUAGGAUGGGUGACCUCCUGGGAAGUCCUCGUGACGCAUUCC
RNAcentral lists this ribosomal RNA (119 nucleotides) under Hordeum vulgare subsp. vulgare (domesticated barley). Lineage: Eukaryota; Viridiplantae; Streptophyta; Magnoliopsida; Poales; Poaceae. The record is from RNAcentral.